Molecule: non-coding RNA, 116 nt
Organism: Fusarium venenatum
Lineage: Eukaryota; Fungi; Ascomycota; Sordariomycetes; Hypocreales; Nectriaceae
Source: RefSeq, a predicted model, not a curated record
UAGACCUGGAUGUUUUUGCUCUGGCAUAGAUAAAUAUGAACUCGUUGCUGGGCACCCGGCCUUGAGAAGUCGUCUUGACUUCCUCGACAGGCCGGGAAUCAGCUGUAGGCACAUAC